UACAGAGGUCUCAAGCGUUGUUCGGAUUCAUUGGGCGUAAAGGGUGCGUAGGUGGCGCCGUAAGUCAGGUGUGAAAUUUCGGAGCUUAACUCCGAAACUGCAUUUGAUACUGCGGUGCUUGAGGACUGGAGAGGAGACUGGAAUUCACGGUGUAGCAGUGAAAUGCGUAGAUAUCGUGAGGAAGACCAGUGGCGAAGGCGGGUCUCUGGACCGGUUCUGACGCUGAGGCGCGAAAGCGUGGGGAGCAAACGGG
Molecule: ribosomal RNA, 253 nt
Filed under: uncultured bacterium
Lineage: Bacteria
Description: partial 16S ribosomal RNA
Rfam family: Bacterial small subunit ribosomal RNA
Source: RNAcentral